GAUGAACGCUGGCGGCGUGCCUAAUACAUGCAAGUCGAGCGAACAGACGAGGAGCUUGCUCCUCUGACGUUAGCGGCGGACGGGUGAGUAACACGUGGAUAACCUACCUAUAAGACUGGGAUAACUUCGGGAAACCGGAGCUAAUACCGGAUAAUAUAUUGAACCGCAUGGUUCAAUAGUGAAAGACGGUUUUGCUGUCACUUAUAGAUGGAUCCGCGCCGCAUUAGCUGGUUGGUAAGGUAACGGCUUACCAAGGCGACGAUGCGUAGCCGACCUGAGAGGGUGAUCGGCCACACUGGAACUGAGACACGGUCCAGACUCCUACGGGAGGCAGCAGUAGGGAAUCUUCCGCAAUGGGCGAAAGCCUGACGGAGCAACGCCGCGUGCGUGAUGAAGGUCUUCGGAUCGUAAAACUCUGUUAUUAGGGAAGAACAAAUGUGUAAGUAACUAUGCACGUCUUGACGGUACCUAAUCAGAAAGCCACGGCUAACUACGUG
This 497-nucleotide ribosomal RNA is filed under the name uncultured bacterium. Its description in RNAcentral is "partial 16S ribosomal RNA". It matches the Rfam family "Bacterial small subunit ribosomal RNA", at positions 28 to 507 of the family's 1533-position model. The record is from RNAcentral.